AAGGGAAGUACCUGGCGGCGUGCUUUACACAUGCUAGUCGAGCGAUGCGGCCGCAAUGGUCAGUCGAGCGGCGGACGGGUGAGUACCUGGAUACCUGCCCUGAGGUGUGGAACAACCAGUGGAAACUCUGGCUAAUACCGCAUGAUACCUGAGAGGUCAAAGGGGGCUCGCAAGGGCUCUCGCCACAGGAGGGGUCCGCGUCCGAUUAGCUAGUUGGUAGGGUAAUGGCCUACCAAGGCGACGAUCGGUAGCCGGCCUGAGAGGGUGAUCGGCCACACUGGAACUGAGACACGGUCCAGACUCCUACGGGAGGCAGCAGUGGGGAAUUUUGCGCAAUGGGCUAACGCCUGACGCAGCAACGCCGCGUGGAGGAUGAAGGUCUUUGGAUUGUAAACUCCUGUCAGCAGGGAAAAAGCGACCUGACCUCAUACGUCAGGGAGUUGAUUGUACCUGCAGAGGAAGCCCCGGCUAACUCUGUGCCAGCAGCCGCGGUAAUACAGAGGGGGCAAGCGUUAUUCGGAAUU
This 524-nucleotide ribosomal RNA is filed under the name uncultured soil bacterium. Its description in RNAcentral is "bacterial SSU rRNA". It matches the Rfam family "Bacterial small subunit ribosomal RNA", at positions 24 to 552 of the family's 1533-position model. The record is from RNAcentral.